GGCUGGUCCCAAGGUAGUGACUUAUCUCAAUUGAUUGUUCACAGUCACAGAUCCAACUCCUUGUUCUACUCUUUCCCCCCUUCUCACUACUGCACUUGACUUGUCUUUA
Molecule: unclassified non-coding RNA, 109 nt
Organism: Gorilla gorilla gorilla (western lowland gorilla)
Lineage: Eukaryota; Metazoa; Chordata; Mammalia; Primates; Hominidae
Rfam family: Y RNA
About the family: Y RNAs are components of the Ro ribonucleoprotein particle (Ro RNP), in association with Ro60 and La proteins.
Source: Ensembl